This 471-nucleotide ribosomal RNA is filed under the name uncultured bacterium. RNAcentral's name for it is "partial 16S ribosomal RNA". It matches the Rfam family "Bacterial small subunit ribosomal RNA", at positions 28 to 507 of the family's 1533-position model. The record is from RNAcentral.
GACGAACGCUGGCGGCGUGCUUAACACAUGCAAGUCGAACGAUGAAGCCUAGCUUGCUAGGUGGAUUAGUGGCGAACGGGUGAGUAAUACGUGAGUAACCUACCUUUAACUCUGGGAUAAGCCCGGGAAACUGGGUCUAAUACCGGAUACGACCAAUCUCCGCAUGGGGUGUUGGUGGAAAGCGUUAUGUAGUGGUUAUAGAUGGGCUCACGGCCUAUCAGCUUGUUGGUGAGGUAACGGCUCACCAAGGCGACGACGGGUAGCCGGCCUGAGAGGGUGACCGGCCACACUGGGACUGAGACACGGCCCAGACUCCUACGGGAGGCAGCAGUGGGGAAUAUUGCACAAUGGGCGCAAGCCUGAUGCAGCGACGCUGCGUGAGGGAUGACGGCCUUCGGGUUGUAAACCUCUGUUAGCAGGGAAGAAGAGAGAUUGACGGUACCUGCAGAGAAAGCGCCGGCUAACUACGUG